RNAcentral lists this ribosomal RNA (537 nucleotides) under uncultured bacterium. RNAcentral's name for it is "bacterial SSU rRNA". It matches the Rfam family "Bacterial small subunit ribosomal RNA", at positions 942 to 1456 of the family's 1533-position model. The record is from RNAcentral.
UGGCUUAAUUCGAGGCUACGCGAAGAACCUUAUCCUGGACUUGACAUGUGCGAAAGCGGUAGGAAGUAGCUUGCGGAAACGUGGAGCGAACGGUAUCCAGUCCGGACCCUACUACAGGUGCUGCAUGGCUGUCGUCAGCUCGUGUCGUGAGAUGUUGGGUUAAGUCCCGUAACGAGCGCAACCCUUGUCUCCAGUUGCCAGCGAGUCAUGUCGGGGACUCUGGAGAGACUGCCGGUGUUAAACCGGAGGAAGGUGGGGAUGACGUCAAGUCCUCAUGGCCUUUAUGUCCAGGGCUGCACACGUGCUACAAUGGCGUACACAGAGGGAAGCCAACCCGCGAGGGGGAGCCAAUCCCAAAAAAUACGCCUCAGUUCAGAUUGAAGGCUGCAACUCGCCUUCAUGAAGUUGGAAUCGCUAGUAAUCGCAGGUCAGCAACACUGCGGUGAAUGUGUUCCUGUGCCUUGUACACACCGCCCGUCAAGCCACGAAAGAUCGGAGCGCCCGAAGACGCCGUGCCAACCGUAAGGGGGCAGGCGG